UACGUAGGUGGCAAGCGUUGUCCGGAUUUACUGGGCGUAAAGAGCGCGCAGGCGGUCGUUCAAGUCGCGUGUGAAAGCCCCCGGCUCAACUGGGGAGGGUCACGCGAUACUGAUCGACUCGAAGGCAGGAGAGGGAAGUGGAAUUCCCGGUGUAGUGGUGAAAUGCGUAGAUAUCGGGAGGAACACCUGUGGCGAAGGCGGCCCCCUGGUCGGAUACUGACGCUGAGACGCGAAAGCGUGGGUAGCAAACGGG
This 253-nucleotide ribosomal RNA is filed under the name uncultured bacterium. RNAcentral describes it as "partial 16S ribosomal RNA". It matches the Rfam family "Bacterial small subunit ribosomal RNA", at positions 524 to 776 of the family's 1533-position model. The record is from RNAcentral.